Rosa rugosa (rugosa rose) is the source of this 2548-nucleotide long non-coding RNA. RefSeq lists it as uncharacterized. The record is from RefSeq and is a predicted model, not a curated record. Lineage: Eukaryota; Viridiplantae; Streptophyta; Magnoliopsida; Rosales; Rosaceae. The transcript is spliced from 3 exons.
AAAAGCAGCUUCCUCUAUCAUCAGAGGUUCACGGCUACAAAAAUAGGGAGAGGCACACUCACUUCUGCACCCUCGGAAAGUCUCGGAAGUCGGAAGAAGGAAAAAGAAAAGGAUAGAACCCAGCAUUGCCGAAGGUCUUGAGGAAAAUGGUGAAGGAAGGCUCAGCAAUAAUCUCUGGAAUCAAGAUUCAGGACCAGACACAACUAUGUAUGGUACAACUUGAAUUUGGUGCACUGAGAAAAGUAGCCCCUCAUAUUCCAUUGACUUAUGAUGUGCCCUUCAGGGAGCAAUAAGUGCUCCUUGACCACAACAUCUCCAAUACUGUAGGUAAAACAUUGUCGGCAGUUUGAAUGACUUUGUCUUCAAGAACCCAACUCCUAUCACCUGCAUAACAAAUAUGAGUUAGGACCCCUUCUUGAGAAUAUUCUAAAGCAAAGGUCCUUGGUAUUGGAAGAAAAGCUGAAGCUUCACUUUACACUGUCGUGAUUUAGUCUUCCAAGCAUCAUUGGUGCUUUGAGUGGUUUCAGAAACAGAGGCAGUGAUACCAUUGCAUCAUGUAAUCAUGAAGGGGUCCAUGCUGUAAGAAAACUUUUUAGUCCAUACAUUGUGCAGUGAUUCAACAGGUAAAUGAAUUACUAUCCCUAGCUUUCUGACACACAGUGGCAGAAUUUAUUGAACAGUGAAACAUUUUUCCUUUUUGCAGUCACUUUCUUGAUAGACCGUUUCCUUUUAGUGUUGGAUAUGUCUGAAGGUGGAUGAGCAUGUAAAAAUUUAUUAAUUUUGAUACUGGCUAAUUGAAAUGACAAGUAUGAAAUACCAGGGAUAUUAUAUGAUUAGCCAGACCAUUAAAUUAGAUGGCCAAAAAAUUGAAAAUAAAGGAAAAGGAAAUUGUUAAGCUGCUAUUGUUUCUGUUUAGUUGCUUGAAGGCCAGUAGAAUUGAUUGUUCAGCUUCUUCAAAAGAGUCGCUAUGAUCUUUAUAUUUUCAUGCUCAAUUCCUUCUGUCAUUUUUCAUUACUAGUUUCUUUUUUGCUUUUUUUUUUCCUUGCCAAUUUAUUCAUUAGUAGUCUAAGAUUAACCUAUAUCAGUAAUAUAUGUACACACAGUCAUGCAGAUAUAUCUAUAUAUAAUACCUAAUACUACACACACACACAAACACAUACCCAGUCUGCUGCUUAGACAAGAUUCUGCAGAGUGGGAUCCCUUUCUGCUAUGAUCCCACUCAAGGCUGCUUGAGAAGCCUUUUGUUCUCUUUGCCCUUCCUCCCAUUUAGGCUUGACUUUAAGGUCUAUCUCUUAGUUCUGGGCUGCCCAGAGCUUGAGUGAUAAAUUUUAAACCCUAUGCCAUAAGCCAUAACAGCUAUUUGACACCAUUGAUAUACACAUGUUGAGACCACACAAAAUUUGAGCUUGUUGCAUGGGCAGCCAUCCCGCUAAGCGGGAUCCCAUUGAAGAAGCUCCUUGUAUUGUAUGACUUUAUAUAUGUGUGUGUGUGUUUAAUUUUUAUCCAGAGCGAGGCCUCGCUCUGAAAUUAAAGUGUGAGGUUAGAGUUUAGGGUCACUUUUCGGUCUCAUAUCCACAUCUCGACCGUUCGGUUUUUAUGUACUAAUGUAUAGAUCAUCUCUGCAAAAUUUUAGCCAAAUUGAUGAUCUUUAAGGUAUCUAACUAGCUUAAUCCAAUUGACGAACUGAAUCUGUCCAACCUGAACUGUACUAGCUUUAAGGCAGUUAUCAAUGCCUUAAUGACCAUCAAUUUGGCUGAAAUUUUGCAGAGAUGAUCUAUACAUUAGUACCUAAAAACUGAACGGUCGAGAUGUGGAUAUGCGACCGAAAAGUGACCCUAAUCUCUAAAAGCGCACUUUAAUUUCAGAGUCAGGCCUCGCUCUGGAUAGGAUCUGUAUAUAUAUAUAUGAAGAUUCUUCUAGCUGGCAUGACUAUGGAAUUAUUUUGUUCAAUAACUCUUUGUAAACCCAUGAUUUCUGAUAUCAUGCUUUUGCUUUUGUUCUCCAUAUUGACAUAGUUUGGAUUCUUAUCUUUUACUUACUUUCUUGAUAUCUUCUUUCUUUUUUCCUUUUUUGUCCCUGGAACUUUUUACUUGGACGUGGUGGUUGUCUAUUUCACCUGAUUAAUAGGUAUAUCAAUGUAUGUAUUUACUAAUGGCAUGACUAGUUUCUCUACUUGGACAAUUGCUGAUGUAAAAUUUGGAUUAUGUAAUGGAACUGAACUAUUGUAUAAAUGUACUUCAGACUAUAUUAAAUGGAAGGUAGUGAAAGGAAUCUCUUAAUGUCUCUCCAAAUUCUGCCUCAUCACUUUAGAAGUAGCUAAAGUGGAUCGCUCUGUAGGUUUGAGCCCCUUCACCAAUGUAGCAGUCGUCAGCCCUUUCCAGUAGCUGUAGCCACUUGCCACAAUAUGGUACAAACUAGUGCUGCCCUGGAUAGCCCAAAACUAAACUAUAAUCUAGUAUACCUGGCUGGUUUAGUGGAUGUGUGGCAGCACCAAGUGAGGCAAGGCCGUGCAGGCAAUAAAUUGGGCAUUGCAACUACAGGUUAAUUG